GAAGUGAACAAGGAGAUGAGAGGAGGCCUGGAGGAAAACAGGAGAAAGUGUGAAGUGAGAAAAUCUUUUACUUGCUGCUGAAUAAACAAUAAAGGUCUAGGGAAGGAGAUUGUAAAUUGUUCCUACCACUUCAGCUCCAUCAAUACUGCAAGGAUCCGCUCAACUAUGUUAUCAUCAAGCUUCAUUAUUAAACCACACCUAACUCAAAAGCAGGGUCAUACUCUUUAAUUAGAUACUGCCCUGGAUCCAGGAGAAUAAGCAUUGGGUAAG
Long non-coding RNA from Peromyscus maniculatus bairdii (prairie deer mouse), 270 nucleotides. RefSeq lists it as uncharacterized. NCBI's taxonomy places the organism in Eukaryota, Metazoa, Chordata, Mammalia, Rodentia, Cricetidae. The record is from RefSeq and is a predicted model, not a curated record.